This 441-nucleotide ribosomal RNA is filed under the name uncultured bacterium. Its description in RNAcentral is "partial 16S ribosomal RNA". It matches the Rfam family "Bacterial small subunit ribosomal RNA", at positions 338 to 795 of the family's 1533-position model. The record is from RNAcentral.
CCUACGGGAGGCAGCAGUGGGGGAUAUUGCACAAUGGGGGGAACCCUGAUGCAGCGACGCCGCGUGGGUGAAGGAGCGUUUCGGCGCGUAAAGCCCUUUCGGCAGGGAAGAAGGAGGAAGGUACCUGACCAAGAAGCCCCGGCUAACUACGUGCCAGGAGCCGCGGUAAUACGUAGGGGGCAAGCGUUAUCCGGAUUUACUGGGUGUAAAGGGGGUGCAGACGGGAGCGCAAGCCAGGAGUGAAAGCCCGGGGCACAACCCCGGGACUGCUCUUGGAACUGGGCGGCUGGAGUGCAGGAGGGGCAGGCGGAAUUCCUGGUGUAGCGGUGAAAUGCGUAGAUAUCAGGAGGAACACCGGUGGCGAAGGCGGCCUGCUGGACUGCGACUGACGUUGAGGCCCGAAAGCGUGGGGAGCAAACAGGAUUAGAUACCCUAGUAGUC